AAGAGAAAGAAGCCCGACAAACACUAUAUCCAGGAGGGGAGAUAAAUUUCCCUUGGGCAGCUUCCUGAGUUGAAUCUGCAUUUGGAGUUGAAGAGCUUGUAGUUGGUUCUCCAGUGGCUGAACUCAUAACUGAUGUCUGUGAACUUGAAGACUGUGUUUCCUGGGGCAGCCAAGCUGGGGAUGCCAUUUCACUGCUUCAAUUACUUGAAGAAAUAAAAACAGUGAUCCUCUAGUACUGCUUCUUUGAGAUAAUUAUUUUGCUUUCAUCUAUUUGGUUGACCUGUGAACACGGAGAGUGAUAGGAACUGAGCGAUUGGUUGAAUUGACGGAGCAGAGAUACGGCAGCGCAGUGCCCGCUGAGCGAGU
This 366-nucleotide unclassified non-coding RNA is filed under the name Hevea brasiliensis (rubber tree). The record is from RNAcentral. Lineage: Eukaryota; Viridiplantae; Streptophyta; Magnoliopsida; Malpighiales; Euphorbiaceae.